This 422-nucleotide ribosomal RNA is filed under the name uncultured bacterium. Its description in RNAcentral is "partial 16S ribosomal RNA". It matches the Rfam family "Bacterial small subunit ribosomal RNA", at positions 360 to 774 of the family's 1533-position model. The record is from RNAcentral.
AAUUUCGGACAAUCGGGGAAACCCUGAUCCAGCCACCUCGCAUGUAUGAUGAAGGCCAUCGGAUUGUAAAGUACCUUUGGCAGAGACGAAAAGGUAUCUCCUAUUACGAGAAACUGCUGAUGGUAUCGGCACAAUAAGCACCGGCUAACUACGUUCCAGCAGCCGCGGUAAUACGUAGGGUGCAAGCGUUAAUCGGAAUUACUGGGCGUAAAGCGUGUGUAGGCGGUUCGGAAAGAAAGAGUAGAAAUCCCAGGGCUCAAACUUGGAAAGGCAUUUUGGACUGCCGAGCUAGAAUAUGUCAGAGGGGGAUAGAAUUCCACGUGUAGCAGUGGAAUGAGUAAGUAUGUGGAGGAAUACCGAGAGCAAAGGCAGCCCCCUGGGAUAAUACUGAAGGUCGAAAACGAAAGCGUGGGGAGGAAACA